CAGAGGGCGCAGUGGGUGGUAGUAUUAUAUUCAGAGGGUACAGGAUGUGGCGGUAUUAUAUUCAGGGGUACAAUAUGUGGCAAAUUUAUAUUCAGGGGUACAGUAUGUGACAGAUUUAUAUUCAGGGGUACAGUAUGUGGCAGAUUUAUAUUCAGGGGUACAGUAUGUGGCAGAUUUAUAUUCAGAGGGUACAGUAUGUGGCAGAUUUAUAUUCAGAGGGUACAGUAUGUGGCAGAUUUAUAUUCAGAGGGCACAGUAUGUGGCAGAUUUAUAUUCAGAGGGUACAGUAUGUGGUAGUAUUAUAUUCAGUGGGUACAGUGUGUGGCGGUAUUAUAUUCAGGGGUACAGUAUGUGGCAGAUUUAUAUUCAGAGGGUACAGUAUGUGUUGGUAUUCAGAAUGUACAGUGUGUGGUAGUAUUAUAUUCAGAGGGUACAGUGUAUGGAAGGUUUAUAAUCAAAGAGUAUAGUAGUAUUAUAUUUAGAAGAUACAGUGUCUCUCAGGUUUAUAAUAAUAAUUGUUUUCAUAUAGAGGAUGAGAAUGCGCUGACAUAGUGAGGAGACGUGUGGGCAUCACAUUCUGCAGAGAGAAGUUUUAGCUGGAACAAGUCCUGGCGCAGGUUCCUCCUUAUCAUCACAAACAGGAUUACAGUGGAAGGUGACACCAGUGUAUAGAUAACAGUGAUAGCGGAGGUCAACUCAAAAGUAAGAAGACAUCCAUAUAAAAUAUAGACAAAAUGUCAGACGGUAAUCCGAUUUUAGACUUAAGCUAAGGGGAAAACCUGUUGGGGCAUGUCACCAACACGGUGGCCAUCUUGCUAGCGGCCAUCUUGGAUUCAACUUCAGUCUUUUAAAUGGGAAGGAGAAGCUGCCUCCAACCUUGGACCGUGUAUAGGAUAACAAUGCCCCAGCGUCACAAAGUGAUAAGGCUCAGAUAAAAAAAUAAUAUAUAUAUAUACCGCUACGCACGCUGCUCCUAUUGGAUGACGGGACGGCGUGCGCAGCAACGUGAUGACGACAGUGGAGAGCCCUGACGAUGGAGGGGAUCCCGAAGAGGACGUGCCGGAGCCCCGAGGACAGUUUUCUGUAAAUAAUUUGACUGUAAUUAAAAAAAAUAAUGAAGAGAUGUGAUCCCCGGCUCCAGGGGACAGUAUGGAGGAUUUCUUACACCUAAGGUGUCAAAAAUGUCAGCUCUGCCCAUCACACUGAAAAUACAGACAGCAAAGCCAACUGGCUCCCCCCUACUCCUACCCCCAGCAGACACACAAUGACUCCACUACUUGGUUGUGGCAACAUAUCAACAAAUCCAAUUGACUCCAAUGUAAUCAUGUCAUCCAAAAUUGUGUGAUAACAAAAUAAAAAUAAA
Hyla sarda is the source of this 1363-nucleotide long non-coding RNA. RefSeq lists it as uncharacterized. Lineage: Eukaryota; Metazoa; Chordata; Amphibia; Anura; Hylidae. The transcript has 7 exons. The record is from RefSeq and is a predicted model, not a curated record.